Molecule: ribosomal RNA, 624 nt
Filed under: Triticum aestivum (bread wheat)
Lineage: Eukaryota; Viridiplantae; Streptophyta; Magnoliopsida; Poales; Poaceae
Description: partial small subunit ribosomal RNA
Source: RNAcentral
AUGUCGCGAUUCUGGUGGGGAGAUGAGGAGGAUCAGCGUAAGAUGCAUUGGUUUGUGUGGUGGAGGAUGUGUAUCCCAAAGGAGAGAGGAGGGAUGGGAUUUCGGGACAUUCAGAGUUUCAAUUUGGCGAUGCUCGCGAAACAGUGUUGGAGAUUAAUUGACAACUAUGAUUCCCUAUGUGCUCGAGUCUUGCGAGCCAAGUAUUACCCCACGGGAGAUAUACUAAACAGCCAGUUAAAGAAGGGUUCAUCUUAUGUGUGGCAGAGCAUAUGGUCAGGAAUUCAAACUUUCAAACAUGGUUGUAUUUGGAGAGUGGGGAACGGAAACAAGAUAAACAUAUGGGAUGAUUGUUGGAUUCCAAACAGUGCAUCAAAGAAAAUCCUAACAGCCCGUGGGAACCGAGUUCUCACAAAGGUGAACGAGCUCAUGGACCCAACUACGGGAGAAUGGGAUGAGCAACUAAUCCGGGAAAACUUCUGGUUGAUAGACGCAGAACGGAUUUUGCAAAUCCCAUUAUUUCAUGUGGAAACUGAAGACUACGUGGCAUGGCAUCUAACAAAGAGUGGAGUUUUUUCAGUACACUCCGCUUACCGAAUAAAGUCUGGAAAAUUUUGUGGAAUUUGA